This 2478-nucleotide ribosomal RNA is filed under the name Triticum aestivum (bread wheat). Its description in RNAcentral is "partial small subunit ribosomal RNA". The record is from RNAcentral. Lineage: Eukaryota; Viridiplantae; Streptophyta; Magnoliopsida; Poales; Poaceae.
AUGCUCCCACCUUCUCUCUAUAACUGGUCAUCUAUUGAAGUAUUUUCAGUAGGGUUUAAUAUGUUGUAUGGAAGCAUUCCGGGUGAUAUCGGAAGCAAGUUCCCCAAGCUGCAACAUUUUGCCUUGACUCGCAAUCACUUCACGGGAACCAUCCCUUCUUCAAUAUCCAACAUAUCUUCACUCGAAGUACUUCGCCUCAUAAAUAAUAGAUUCAGGGGUUACGUACCUCCCACAUUGGGGAAGCUGGGAACUAUCCAAGAACUGAGUUUGGCUUACAAUAGGCUUGAAGCUAAUGAUAACAAGGGGUGGGAAUUCAUCAUUUCUUUAGCAAACUGCAGUCAACUGCAGCAAUUGAUACUCGGCUUCAAUUCUUUUGAAGGUCAACUACCGAAUUCAAUCAUGAACCUCUCAACGAAUCUCCAGAAGUUAUACUUAGGGUACAAUAGGAUCUCUGGGAGUAUUCCUGCAGAUAUCGGCAGUUUAGUUGGUCUGGAAUCACUUAUAAUAGGAAAUAAUUAUUUAUCUGGAGUGAUUCCAGAGAGCAUUGGUAAGCUAGAGAACUUGAACGAGCUAACCUUGUCAAAUAAUAGGUUGUCUGGCCUCAUGCCAUCAUCGCUAGGGAACCUUUCGCAGUUGAUUUCGUUUUAUGCAAGCUAUUGCAACUUGGAGGGACCACUUCCAGCAAGCCUGGGGGGAUUGAAAAACCUCUUUGCACUAGAUUUGUUAAGGAAUUACAAUCUUAACGGUUCAAUACCAAGAGAGAUCUUCAAACUACCCAGCCUUUCUUGGUAUUUGGACUUGUCAUACAAUUCCCUUUCUGGACUCAUUCCUAUGGAAGUCGGUAGUUUGGCAAAUCUUAAUGAACUGACUCUAUCAGGAAAUCGGUUGUCUGGCCAGAUACCAUAUAGUAUUCAGAACUGCAUAGUGUUGGAAUUGUUGUUGUUAGACAAUAAUUUGUUUGAUGGAAGCAUACCUCAAUCACUGAAGAAUAUAAAGGGACUCAGUAAAUUGAACUUGACAAUGAAUAAGUUCUCUGGUAGUAUUCCUAUUGCCCUUGGCAGUAUUGGAAACCUGCAUGAACUGUACCUAGCACACAACAACUUGUCAGGGUCAAUCCCAUUAGUUCUACAAAAAGUGAUAUCAUUGACAAAAUUGGAUGUAUCCUUCAACAAUUUGCAAGGUAAGGUGCCGAAUGAAGGCGUUUUCAGAAAUAUCACUUACUUAGCAGUUGUUGGGAAUAUCAAUUUGUGUGGUGGUACACCUCAGCUUCAGUUGGCUCCAUGCCCCACAGACCCCUUAAACAAGAACAGGAAAAAGAUGUCAAAGUCUCUUGUAAUUUCUCUAGCGGUAGUUGGAGCGAUCAUGUUCUCACUUUCAUUUAUUCUUCUUGCUUGGAUACUAUACAAGAAGCUCAAACCAAGCAAAAUGAUAUUAGCACCAAAUUCAAUCAUCGAUGAAAAUUACAACAGAAUUCCCUCUCAUGCACUAUUUAGAGGAACUAAUGAAUUUUCAGAAGUGAACUUGCUUGGGAGAGGAAGUUAUGGCGCUGUUUAUAAGUGUGUUUUGGACACCGAAGAAUUAACAUUGGCUGUCAAGGUGUUUAAUCUUGGUCAAUCUAGGUAUUCAAAGAGUUUUGAGGCUGAAUGUGAGGCCAUGAGAAGGAUACGACACCGUUGUCUCAUCAAGAUCAUUACUUCUUGUUCGAGUAUCAACCAUCAAGGUCAAGAGUUCAAGGCAUUGGUUUUUGAGUUCAUGCCAAAUGGUAACUUGGAUCGAUGGCUUCAUCCGAAAUCUCAAGAGCCCAAUACAAACAACACACUCAGCCUUGCCCAGAGGCUUGAUAUUGUUGUCAAUAUUGUGGAUGUUGUAGAAUAUCUGCACAACUACUGCCAACCAUUGGUAAUCCAUUGCGAUCUUAAGCCAAGCAACAUUCUUCUUGCUGAAGACAUGAGCGCACGAGUUGGAGAUUUUGGCAUAUCAAGGAUCCUUCAAGAAAAUACAGGCGAGGGGAUGCAAGCUUCUUCAACUGGGAUUAGAGGUUCCAUUGGCUAUGUUGCUCCAGAGUACGGAGAAGGCUCUGUUGUCUCAACAGCUGGUGAUAUUUAUAGUCUUGGCAUAUUGCUGCUUGAGAUGUUUACUGGAAGGAGCCCAACAGAAGGCACAUUCCAAGAUUCAUUGGAUUUGCAUAAGUUUGUCCAGGAUGCUCUUCCAGAUAGAGCCUUUGAGAUAGCAGACACGACAAUGUGGCUGCACAUCGGCCACCAUGAUAACAUUGCAAGUAUUAGAAUUCAGGAGUGCUUGAUCUCGAUCUUCAGGCUUGGCCUAUCCUGCUCAAAGAAACAGCCUCGAGACCGAGCUCUGACGAGAGAUGUAGCGAGAGAGAUGCAUGCAAUCAGAAAUGCACACCUCAAGUUUAUUGGGAGGCCUGGACCAGAAAGAGAAGCCUCGACUAGAGAAAUUCAGAGCAUCAUCGAAUAA